This 360-nucleotide long non-coding RNA is filed under the name Canis lupus familiaris (dog). RNAcentral's name for it is "lncRNA (ENSCAFG00845021726.1)". The record is from RNAcentral. Lineage: Eukaryota; Metazoa; Chordata; Mammalia; Carnivora; Canidae.
ACCUGCUUCUCCCUUUGGGCUGAGGUUUGGGGCCAUCAGAACAGUUGCAUUCAUGGCAGCAGCAGGAUGACCCGGGAGGACAGGAAGUACUGCUCCCUCAAGAGCCACCUGAUUUCUCUCCUCCUGGGGACCAGAGGGUCUUGCUCAGAACCUUCCACUCUCCACAUGACGAAAAAUAUAACCUUUCAGUGUCUCUUGGAGAAAAGCACAGCUGCACCACAGCAGGAAGAGAAGCAGAGGAAAGGAAAACAAUUGUCACCUGUUGAAAUGCAUUUCCAGAUCCAGGAUGGACCCUCUACACUCUGGGGUGGUGAGUAAGCAAACUAAAACUUAGAUACUCUCCUGUCCCUGUAAAUGCUG